CCUACGGGAGGCAGCAAUUAGGAAUCUUGCGCAAUGGGCGAAAGCCUGACGCAGCGACGCCGCGUGACUGAUGAAGUCUUUCGGGAUGUAAAGGUCUUUUGCAGGGGACGAAGGAAGUGACGGUACCCUGCGAAUAAGCUCCGGCUAACUACGUGCCCGCAGCCGCGGUAAUACGUAGGGAGCGAGCGUUGUCCGAAUUUACUGGGCGUAAAGCGCGCGUAGGCGGGUUAGUAAGUUGGGGGUGAAAUGCCGAGGCUUAACCUCGGAACUGCCUCCAAAACUGG
This 284-nucleotide ribosomal RNA is filed under the name uncultured prokaryote. RNAcentral describes it as "partial 16S ribosomal RNA". It matches the Rfam family "Bacterial small subunit ribosomal RNA", at positions 338 to 636 of the family's 1533-position model. The record is from RNAcentral.